Molecule: ribosomal RNA, 596 nt
Filed under: Microlophus habelii
Lineage: Eukaryota; Metazoa; Chordata; Lepidosauria; Squamata; Tropiduridae
Description: partial 12S ribosomal RNA
Rfam family: Bacterial small subunit ribosomal RNA
Source: RNAcentral
AAGCGAAAAGACUACCAUAAAGCUUGACUUAGUUAUAAUCAACCAGGGUCGGCCAAUCUCGUGCCAGCCGCCGCGGUUAUACGAGAGACCCGAAACAACAGCAAACGGCGUAAAUUGUGGCUAGAAUUAAGGCUAAAAACUAAGAAAUAAACUACUACCUUACCGUAAAACACAGGUAAAAUGAAAUCUCUUACCCAAAGCGAUUUGAACCCACGAAAUCUAAGAAACAAACUAGGAUUAGAUACCCUACUAUGCUUAGACAUAAAAAGACAUCAAUCAACACAAAUGUCCGCCAGAGAACUACAAGCGAAAAGCUUAAAACUCAAAAGACUUGGCGGUGUCCCAAACCCGACUUAGAGGAGCCUGUCCUAUAAUCGAUAAUCCACGAUAAACCCAACCACCCCUUGCAAAUCAGCCUAUAUACCGCCGUCGCAAACCUACCCCUCAAAGGAACAAUAGUAGGUAUAAUAGUCUAAACCACUAAAACGUCAGGUCAAGGUGUAGCUAAUGAGGUGGAAGAGAUGGGCUACAUUCUUUAUACUAAAGCAAACAAAACGAGUUAUGAAACAAACUCAGAAAGGAGGAUUUAAUAGUAA